RNAcentral lists this ribosomal RNA (618 nucleotides) under uncultured bacterium. RNAcentral describes it as "bacterial SSU rRNA". It matches the Rfam family "Bacterial small subunit ribosomal RNA", at positions 338 to 951 of the family's 1533-position model. The record is from RNAcentral.
CCUACGGGAGGCAGCAGUGGGGAAUUUUGGGCAAUGGGCGCAAGCCUGAUCCAGCAAUGCCGCGUGAGUGAAGAAGGCCUUCGGGUUGUAAAGCUCUUUUGUCAGGGAAGAAACGGUCUACUCUAAUACAGUGGGCUAAUGACGGUACCUGAAGAAUAAGCACCGGCUAACUACGUGCCAGCAGCCGCGGUAAUACGUAGGGUGCAAGCGUUAAUCGGAAUUACUGGGCGUAAAGCGUGCGCAGGCGGUUAUAUAAGUCAGAUGUGAAAUCCCCGGGCUCAACCUGGGAACUGCAUUUGAGACUGUAUGGCUAGAGUGUGUCAGAGGGGGGUAGAAUUCCACGUGUAGCAGUGAAAUGCGUAGAUAUGUGGAGGAAUACCGAUGGCGAAGGCAGCCCCCUGGGAUAACACUGACGCUCAUGCACGAAAGCGUGGGGAGCAAACAGGAUUAGAUACCCUGGUAGUCCACGCCCUAAACCGAUGUCUACUAGUUGUCGGGACUUAAUUGUCUUGGUAACGCAGCUAACGCGUGAAGUAGACCGCCUGGGGAGUCGGUCGCAAGAUUAAAACUUAAAUGAAUUGACGGCUGAGAGAGACGAGACGACGACGAGGGAGGAGG